UUAGUGGCGGACGGGUGAGUAACGCGUGGAAAACCUGCCGUAUACUGGGGGAUAACACUUAGAAAUAGGUGCUAAUACCGCAUAAGCGCACAGUCCCGCAUGGGACAGAGUGAAAAACAUUAGUGGUGUAAGAUGGACCAGCGUCUGAUUAGCUUGUUGGCGGGGUAACGGCCCACCAAGGCGACGAUCAGUAGCCGGCCUGAGAGGGUGGACGGCCACAUUGGGACUGAGACACGGCCCAAACUCCUACGGAAGGCAGCAG
Molecule: ribosomal RNA, 262 nt
Filed under: uncultured bacterium
Lineage: Bacteria
Description: partial 16S ribosomal RNA
Rfam family: Bacterial small subunit ribosomal RNA
Source: RNAcentral